UACGUAGGGAGCGAGCGUUAUCCGGAUUUACUGGGUGUAAAGGGCGUGUAGGCGGGACGGCAAGUCAGAUGUGAAAACUAUGGGCUCAACCCAUAGCCUGCAUUUGAAACUGUUGUUCUUGAGUGCUGGAGAGGCAAAUGGAACUCCUAGUGUAGCGGUGAAAUGCGUAGAUAUUAGGAAGAACACCAGUGGCGAAGGCGAUUUGCUGGACAGUAACUGACGCUGAUGCGCGAAAGUGUGGGGAG
RNAcentral lists this ribosomal RNA (245 nucleotides) under uncultured Intestinimonas sp. RNAcentral describes it as "partial 16S ribosomal RNA". It matches the Rfam family "Bacterial small subunit ribosomal RNA", at positions 524 to 768 of the family's 1533-position model. Lineage: Bacteria; Bacillati; Bacillota; Clostridia; Eubacteriales. The record is from RNAcentral.